UUUAGAACAUCACCUCUGCAAGAUGUUCACAGAAGGAAACUCAUCCUCAGCUAUAGUUGCACAUGGAUUUUGAACAUGGCUGUGGAGACAAUAAUGGAAACCUUAAGCCUGGUACUAACCUACACACAAUAGUGACCUAAAUACCUAACUACAUUUCUUGUGAAAUACAGAACCCAAACCCACCAAUCCUGAUCCAACCAAGGGUUGCAGAGGUGGCCCAGCGAGUCCUAUACCAAGUAGGCCUUCUAGCUCUAUUUUAUGCUGUUAUAAAUUUGACAAGAUAAGUGCAUAACAUAUAUAUCUUAUGGCAUCUGUAUUUUCCUGUAUUUAAUCAUCAUAAUUGCUGUGAAAAGGAAGAAUUUGUACGUAUCUUAUUGGCAAAUCUUUGAGUGUCACGCCCUGACCGUAGAUUGCUUUGUAUGUUUCUAUUUUUAGUUUGGUCAGGGUGUGAUGUGUGUGGGUAUUCUAUGUUUGUAUUUCUAUGUGUUUGGCCUGGUAUGGUUCCCAAUCAGAGGCAGCUGUCAAUCGUUGUCUCUGAUUGAGAACCAUACUUAGGUAGCCUGUUUUCCCACUCUUGUUUGUGGGUGGUUAUUUUCCGUUUCAGUGUUUUUUCACCAUUUGGGACUGUUUCGUUUUUUUCUUCAUUCGCUUAUUCUUUUGUUUCCUGUGUUCAGUGUAAUAAAUAUGACAAA
Long non-coding RNA from Oncorhynchus nerka (sockeye salmon), 692 nucleotides. RefSeq lists it as uncharacterized. The transcript is spliced from 3 exons. The record is from RefSeq and is a predicted model, not a curated record. NCBI's taxonomy places the organism in Eukaryota, Metazoa, Chordata, Actinopteri, Salmoniformes, Salmonidae.